AUGAUCCUCCAAUUCCUCCGGAGGUGGCUGAACUCUUGGAACAGUAUGCAGCCCUUUUCGAGGAACCCAAAGGUCUGCCACCACAGCGCUCUUUUGAUCAUUCCAUUCCUUUGGUGCCCGGAGCUCGACCAGUCAACAUACGACCCUAUCGACAUAGUCCGGCCCAGAAAGAUGAGGUGGAACGGCAGGUCACUGAGAUGCUAG
RNAcentral lists this ribosomal RNA (204 nucleotides) under Triticum aestivum (bread wheat). RNAcentral's name for it is "partial small subunit ribosomal RNA". Lineage: Eukaryota; Viridiplantae; Streptophyta; Magnoliopsida; Poales; Poaceae. The record is from RNAcentral.